GAGGUGGGAGGAUUGCUUGAACUUGGGAGGUGGAGGCUGCAGUGAGCCGAGAUCAUACCACUGCACUCCAGCCUGAGUGACAGAGCGAGACCCUGUCU
Molecule: microRNA precursor, 98 nt
Filed under: Gorilla gorilla gorilla (western lowland gorilla)
Lineage: Eukaryota; Metazoa; Chordata; Mammalia; Primates; Hominidae
Description: miRNA (ENSGGOG00000039377.1)
Source: RNAcentral